GGGGAAUAUUGGACAAUGGGCGCAAGCCUGAUCCAGCAAUGCCGCGUGUGUGAAGAAGGUCUUCGGAUUGUAAAGCACUUUCGGCGGGGACGAUGAUGACGGUACCCGCAGAAGAAGCCCCGGCUAACUUCGUGCCAGCAGCCGCGGUAAUACGAAGGGGGCUAGCGUUGCUCGGAAUGACUGGGCGUAAAGGGCGCGUAGGCGGUUUGCACAGUCAGAUGUGAAAUUCCUGGGCUCAACCUGGGGACUGCAUUUGAUACGUGCAGGCUUGAGUGCGGAAGAGGGUUGUGGAAUUCCCAGUGUAGAGGUGAAAUUCGUAGAUAUUGGGAAGAACACCGGUGGCGAAGGCGGCAACCUGGUCCGUGACUGACGCUGAGGCGCGAAAGCGUGGGGAGCAAACA
This 401-nucleotide ribosomal RNA is filed under the name uncultured bacterium. RNAcentral's name for it is "bacterial SSU rRNA". It matches the Rfam family "Bacterial small subunit ribosomal RNA", at positions 356 to 774 of the family's 1533-position model. The record is from RNAcentral.